GAUAUUUGACCCACAUAAACAUUCGUUUAAGGAGACGGGACACUAUUUUCCCUGCCUCCUGAUCCAACUCAUAUUCUUCAAAACAUCAAAUAAAGUAAUAUGCAGAAUUAUGUUGCCCCUGAGAGGGAUUUUCUCUUGUUUCCCUCCCACUCUGCUCAGUCUGUCUGUCUGUCUUUCCCUCCCAGCCUCCCCCUUACCCUCCCCUGAAAACUCUGGAAAAACAGUAGUAAGUAACAUUUGUGCCUUUGGCAAUAAAACCACAGGCCUCCCAAACCCCAAAUGGCAAAAAGACAUUUCCAUUCCAAUCCCAGUUUUAAAUUAAACUGUAAUGAAAAAUCAGCAGUGGCAGCUGGGACCAGAGACACUGAUUGUCUCUAGGAACAAAAAGGAGGGGAACAGAGGGGGAGAGGAAGAAGAAAAGAGACUGCAAGGAAGCAGCACUCUGGUAAUAAAGCAGCUGGUAAACCUUCAAGUAAAAAGAAAUUAGAAAAACAAAUCUAGGAUGGAGACAAGCAAAGAUGGCUGUUUCUCUCUACAGUCACGAUCUAAGAAUCUGAUAAAGUUAUGGGAUCCACUUCUCCGGGGGAAGAAAAAAAGGUACCUAAGUGCACACGCAGUUGUGGAUGCUCACAGAUCCCUCAGGCCAAUCUAUAAAGUCCAGAUUGAGAACUGCUUCUC
Molecule: long non-coding RNA, 678 nt
Organism: Bubalus bubalis (water buffalo)
Lineage: Eukaryota; Metazoa; Chordata; Mammalia; Artiodactyla; Bovidae
Exons: 2
Source: RefSeq, a predicted model, not a curated record